CAGUCGCCGCGGUAAUACAGAGGGUGCGAGCGUUAAUCGGAUUUACUGGGCGUAAAGCGUGCGUAGGCGGCUUUUUAAGUCGGAUGUGAAAUCCUUGAGCUUAACUUAGGAAUUGCAUUCGAUACUGGGAAGCUAGAGUAUGGGAGAGGAUGGUAGAAUUCCAGGUGUAGCGGUGAAAUGCGUAGAGAUCUGGAGGAAUACCGAUGGCGAAGGCAGCCAUCUGGCCUAAUACUGACGCUGAGGUACGAAAGCAUGGGGAGCAAACAGGAUUAGAUACCCGCGUAGUCCCUGUCUCUUAUAC
RNAcentral lists this ribosomal RNA (301 nucleotides) under uncultured bacterium. RNAcentral's name for it is "partial 16S ribosomal RNA". It matches the Rfam family "Bacterial small subunit ribosomal RNA", at positions 509 to 807 of the family's 1533-position model. The record is from RNAcentral.